GGGGGAUUAGCUCAGCUGGGAGAGCGCUACAAUGGCAUUGUAGAGGUCAGGGGUUCGAAUCCCCUAUCCUCCA
Molecule: transfer RNA, 73 nt
Filed under: Planctomycetota bacterium
Lineage: Bacteria; Pseudomonadati; Planctomycetota
Description: Planctomycetes bacterium tRNA-Ala
Rfam family: tRNA
About the family: Transfer RNA (tRNA) molecules are approximately 80 nucleotides in length. Their secondary structure includes four short double-helical elements and three loops (D, anti-codon, and T loops). Further hydrogen bonds mediate the characteristic L-shaped molecular structure. tRNAs have two regions of fundamental functional importance: the anti-codon, which is responsible for specific mRNA codon recognition, and the 3' end, to which the tRNAs corresponding amino acid is attached (by aminoacyl-tRNA synthetases). tRNAs cope with the degeneracy of the genetic code in two manners: having more than one tRNA (with a specific anti-codon) for a particular amino acid; and 'wobble' base-pairing, i.e. permitting non-standard base-pairing at the 3rd anti-codon position.
Source: RNAcentral